GACGGACGCUGGCGGCGUGCCUAAUACAUGCAAGUAGAACGCUGAAGCUUGGUGCUUGCACCGAGCGGAUGAGUUGCGAACGGGUGAGUAACGCGUAGGUAACCUGCCUGGUAGCGGGGGAUAACUAUUGGAAACGAUAGCUAAUACCGCAUAAGAGUAGAUGUUGCAUGACAUUUGCUUAAAAGGUGCAAUUGCAUCACUACCAGAUGGACCUGCGUUGUAUUAGCUAGUUGGUGAGGUAACGGCUCACCAAGGCAACGAUACAUAGCCGACCUGAGAGGGUGCUCGGCCACACUGGGACUGAGACACGGCCCAGACUCCUACGGGAGGCAGCAGUAGGGAAUCUUCGGCAAUGGACGGAAGUCUGACCGAGCAACGCCGCGUGAGUGAAGAAGGUUUUCGGAUCGUAAAGCUCUGUUGUAAGAGAAGAACGAGUGUGAGAGUGGAAAGUUCACACUGUGACGGUAUCUUACCAGAAAGGGACGGCUAACUACGUG
RNAcentral lists this ribosomal RNA (497 nucleotides) under uncultured bacterium. RNAcentral's name for it is "partial 16S ribosomal RNA". It matches the Rfam family "Bacterial small subunit ribosomal RNA", at positions 28 to 507 of the family's 1533-position model. The record is from RNAcentral.